Molecule: ribosomal RNA, 586 nt
Filed under: uncultured bacterium
Lineage: Bacteria
Description: partial 16S ribosomal RNA
Rfam family: Bacterial small subunit ribosomal RNA
Source: RNAcentral
UGGGGAAUUUUGGGCAAUGGGCGCAAGCCUGAUCCAGCCAUGCCGCGUGCGGGAAGAAGGCCUUCGGGUUGUAAACCGCUUUUGUCAGGGAAGAAAUCUUCUGAGUUAAUACCUCGGGAGGAUGACGGUACCUGAAGAAUAAGCACCGGCUAACUACGUGCCAGCAGCCGCGGUAAUACGUAGGGUGCAAGCGUUAAUCGGAAUUACUGGGCGUAAAGCGUGCGCAGGCGGUUUUGUAAGACAGAGGUGAAAUCCCCGGGCUCAACCUGGGAACUGCCUUUGUGACUGCAAGGCUUGAGUGCGGCAGAGGGGGAUGGAAUUCCGCGUGUAGCAGUGAAAUGCGUAGAUAUGCGGAGGAACACCGAUGGCGAAGGCAAUCCCCUGGGCCUGCACUGACGCUCAUGCACGAAAGCGUGGGGAGCAAACAGGAUUAGAUACCCUGGUAGUCCACGCCCUAAACGAUGUCAACUGGUUGUUGGGAAGGUUCCUUCUCAGUAACGUAGCUAACGCGUGAAGUUGACCGCCUGGGGAGUACGGCCGCAAGGUUGAAACUUAAAUGAAUUGACGGGGUCAUAGCUGUUUCCUG